Non-coding RNA from Pangasius djambal, 74 nucleotides. Lineage: Eukaryota; Metazoa; Chordata; Actinopteri; Siluriformes; Pangasiidae. The record is from the annotation of a GenBank genome assembly.
GGAAGUGGUAGCUCAGUGGUUAAGACGCUGGACUUCUGCUUGGAAGGUCAUGAGUUCAAAUCCCACCCCGACCA